CGACUCCUUCCUGUGUUGCUGGAACAGAGUUCUAUAAGCUAAUAGAGGCAAGCUGUGAGCGACAGAUUGCAACUUGGAAACCAGAUCAUGACCAAUAGCUCAGCUGCCUGGUGAUGAG
Molecule: long non-coding RNA, 118 nt
Filed under: Piliocolobus tephrosceles (Ugandan red Colobus)
Lineage: Eukaryota; Metazoa; Chordata; Mammalia; Primates; Cercopithecidae
Description: lncRNA (ENSPTEG00000025861.1)
Source: RNAcentral